GUUGGGGUAGCGAGGUCCUCAGGAGGUUUGGGACCCCCCGAAAGGGGUUAGGGGUGCUUGAGGAUGCAGCAUACUCUGGGAGAGGGGAGAGCACGUCACUGCUCCAUCGUUCCUGCCUGUGUGCAGAGUCCUGGGGCUGCCAACAACCUUGGGAACCACGGCUUUUGCAAAACAUUAACCAAAGCCCAGCGAAACACGUCAGCCUGUGUUUGCGGAUGAUGUGAGUGACCUCAGCCUGGUGGCACAGACAGGGUGACCCCUGGGGACAGCUGUGACACCCAUCCUGCACAGCUGGCCUGGGUUAAUGCUGCUGUCCCCGUGAGGUGACAGAGCCCAGCGUUUGUCCUGAGCACAGCCCUGCUCCAGCAUUCCUGCUUCCCAGAACUUCCAAAGCUGAGCUAAUUUCCAGCUGGAGCCACCCUGGGGACUCUGGGGUGACACCCCUUUCCUUCGGGAACCCCUGCUUGGUUCAGCUUGAGGUGUCCCAAACCAGUCCUGGGUGAUUCCUGCUGCUCCUGGGUCCUUCCAGCCCAGGGAAAUCCAUCCUCAGCAGCAGCCACUGGAACAUUUCACAAAUCCUGCAGCCAGAAAAACCCGGGGAUUUUUUGCCCUUUCCCUGCAGAUAA
RNAcentral lists this long non-coding RNA (626 nucleotides) under Cyanistes caeruleus (blue tit). Its description in RNAcentral is "lncRNA (ENSCCEG00000016813.1)". The record is from RNAcentral. Lineage: Eukaryota; Metazoa; Chordata; Aves; Passeriformes; Paridae.